RNAcentral lists this unclassified non-coding RNA (391 nucleotides) under Hevea brasiliensis (rubber tree). The record is from RNAcentral. Lineage: Eukaryota; Viridiplantae; Streptophyta; Magnoliopsida; Malpighiales; Euphorbiaceae.
AAUUCUAUGUCAAUAGUUGCAUCCUAUGAAGAAGACAUGGAGAAAAAUAGAAGUAGAGGAGCAAAUUACAAAAAAAAGAUACACAUCAACCGACAAGCAAGUGAAUAUUGCAUAAUCUUUCUAGCAUCUCAAACCAUAUCAUUUAUUUAUUGUGUCAUAAAACGAGAACUCUAGGACCUAAAUGACCUAUAUGUUGGUGUCAGAUGUCAUCUAAGGAUCCAGAAGCAACCAAACCAUGCAACUGUGUGGUGAAACAAGUCCCUGAGAAAAGGGAUAAUAUAAAUGCUGGGUAAAAUUCCUUUGGGGAUAACAAAGGCUUGAUUGAUGAAAUGAUGGCUUUUACAUUACAUUCAGGUCUCCACACAAGUAUCACCUGUCACUCUCAAAUUUC